RNAcentral lists this ribosomal RNA (461 nucleotides) under uncultured bacterium. RNAcentral describes it as "bacterial SSU rRNA". It matches the Rfam family "Bacterial small subunit ribosomal RNA", at positions 30 to 507 of the family's 1533-position model. The record is from RNAcentral.
AUUGAACGCUGGCGGCAUGCCUUACACAUGCAAGUCGAACGGCAGCACGGGUGCUUGCACCUGGUGGCGAGUGGCGAACGGGUGAGUAAUACAUCGGAACGUACCUUAUCGUGGGGGAUAACGCAGCGAAAGCUGUGCUAAUACCGCAUACGCCCUGAGGGGGAAAGCGGGGGAUCGAAAGACCUCGCGCGAUUAGAGCGGCCGAUGCCUGAUUAGCUUGUUGGUGGGGUAAAGGCCCACCAAGGCGACGAUCAGUAGCUGGUCUGAGAGGAUGAUCAGCCACACUGGAACUGAGACACGGUCCAGACUCCUACGGGAGGCAGCAGUGGGGAAUCUUGCGCAAUGGGGGCAACCCUGACGCAGCCAUACCGCGUGUGCGAUGAAGGCCCUCGGGUUGUAAAGCACUUUUGGCAGGGACGACGAUGACGGUACCUGCAGAAUAAGUCACGGCUAACUUCGUG